GGGCGGAUGGUUUAGUGGUAUAAUUUUCCCUUAGCAUCUUGCAACCUGGGAAAGGUCCGGGGUUCGAUUCCCCGUUCGUCCA
RNAcentral lists this transfer RNA (82 nucleotides) under Trichoderma longibrachiatum. RNAcentral describes it as "tRNA-Ala". It matches the Rfam family "tRNA". From Rfam's summary of the family: Transfer RNA (tRNA) molecules are approximately 80 nucleotides in length. Their secondary structure includes four short double-helical elements and three loops (D, anti-codon, and T loops). Further hydrogen bonds mediate the characteristic L-shaped molecular structure. tRNAs have two regions of fundamental functional importance: the anti-codon, which is responsible for specific mRNA codon recognition, and the 3' end, to which the tRNAs corresponding amino acid is attached (by aminoacyl-tRNA synthetases). tRNAs cope with the degeneracy of the genetic code in two manners: having more than one tRNA (with a specific anti-codon) for a particular amino acid; and 'wobble' base-pairing, i.e. permitting non-standard base-pairing at the 3rd anti-codon position. The record is from RNAcentral. Lineage: Eukaryota; Fungi; Ascomycota; Sordariomycetes; Hypocreales; Hypocreaceae. RNAcentral also lists the same sequence under 6 other names.